RNAcentral lists this ribosomal RNA (471 nucleotides) under uncultured bacterium. RNAcentral's name for it is "partial 16S ribosomal RNA". It matches the Rfam family "Bacterial small subunit ribosomal RNA", at positions 30 to 507 of the family's 1533-position model. The record is from RNAcentral.
UUGAACGCUGGCGGCAGGCCUAACCCAUGCAAGUCGCGCGGGGACUUCGGUCCUAGCGGCGAACGGGUGAGUAAUGCUUGGGAAUCUGCCCAGUAGUGGGGGAUAACGUCCCGAAAGGGACGCUAAUACCGCAUACGUCCUACGGGAGAAAGAGGGGGAUCUUCGGACCUCUCGCUAUUGGAUGAGCCCAAGUCGGAUUAGCUAGUUGGUAGGGUAAUGGCCUACCAAGGCGACGAUCCGUAGCUGGUCUGAGAGGAUGAUCAGCCACACUGGAACUGAGACACGGUCCAGACUCCUACGGGAGGCAGCAGUGGGGAAUAUUGGACAAUGGGCGAAAGCCUGAUCCAGCCAUGCCGCGUGUGUGAAGAAGGCCUUCGGGUUGUAAAGCACUUUAAGCGGGGAGGAAGGUUCGCGGCCUAAUACGUUGCGGAAUUGACGUUACCCGCAGAAUAAGCACCGGCUAACUCUGUG